RNAcentral lists this ribosomal RNA (440 nucleotides) under uncultured bacterium. RNAcentral's name for it is "bacterial SSU rRNA". It matches the Rfam family "Bacterial small subunit ribosomal RNA", at positions 467 to 905 of the family's 1533-position model. The record is from RNAcentral.
UGAUGACGGUACCGUUUGUAAGCUCCGGCUAACUCCGUGCCAGCAGCCGCGGUAAUACGGGGGGAGCAAGCGUUGUUCGGAUUUACUGGGCGUAAAGGGCGCGUAGGCGGCCAGCACAAGUCAGUUGUGAAAUCUCCGAGCUUAACUCGGAAAGGUCAACUGAUACUGNGCGGCUAGAGUGCGGAAGGGGCAACUGGAAUUCUUGGUGUAGCGGUGAAAUGCGUAGAUAUCAAGAGGAACACCUGCGGCGAAGGCGGGUUGCUGGGCCGACACUGACGCUGAGGCGCGAAAGCUAGGGGAGCGAACGGGAUUAGAUACCCCGGUAGUCCUAGCCUUAAACGAUGAAUGCUUGGUGUCUGGGGUUAUAAAGUCCCCGGGUGCCGUCGCUAACGCUUUAAGCAUUCCGCCUGGGGAGUACGGUCGCAAGACUGAAACUCAAA